UAGGGAAUAUUGGACAAUGGGGGAAACCCUGAUCCAGCCAUGCCGCGUGAGUGAUGAAGGCCUUCGGGUUGUAAAGCUCUUUUGGGUGGGACGAUAAUGACGGUACCACCAGAAUAAGAUCCGGCUAACUUCGUGCCAGCAGCCGCGGUAAUACGAAGGGAUCUAGCGUUGUUCGGAUUUACUGGGCGUAAAGGGCGCGUAGGCGGUUAGAUAAGUAGGGUGUGAAAGCCCUGGGCUUAACCCAGGAACUGCACUUUAAACUGUCUAGCUUGAGUAUGGGAGAGGUAAGUAGAAUUCCCAGUGUAGAGGUGAAAUUCGUAGAUAUUGGGAAGAAUACCAGUGGCGAAGGCGGCUUACUGGACCAUAACUGACGCUGAGGCGCGAAAGCGUGGGGAGCAAACAGG
Molecule: ribosomal RNA, 404 nt
Filed under: uncultured bacterium
Lineage: Bacteria
Description: bacterial SSU rRNA
Rfam family: Bacterial small subunit ribosomal RNA
Source: RNAcentral